CGUAGGGGGCGAGCGUUGUCCGGAUUUAUUGGGCGUAAAGAGCUCGUAGGCGGCUUGGCAAGUCGGGUGUGAAACCUCCAGGCUUAACCUGGAGACGCCACUCGAUACUGCCAUGGCUAGAGUCCGGUAGGGGACCACGGAAUUCCUGGUGUAGCGGUGAAAUGCGCAGAUAUCAGGAGGAACACCGGUGGCGAAGGCGGUGGUCUGGGCCGGCACUGACGCUGAGGAGCGAAAGCGUGGGUAGCAAACAGGAUUAGAUACCCUGGUAGUCCACGCCGUAAACGUUGGCACUAGGUGUGGGCCUUAUCAACGGGUUCCGUGCCGUAGCUAACGCAUUAAGUGCCCGCCUGGGAGUACGGCCGCAAGGCUA
RNAcentral lists this ribosomal RNA (370 nucleotides) under uncultured organism. RNAcentral describes it as "bacterial SSU rRNA". It matches the Rfam family "Bacterial small subunit ribosomal RNA", at positions 526 to 896 of the family's 1533-position model. The record is from RNAcentral.